CAACACUACAUUUGUUGCUCCAGGAAUCCGAGACUUUGGUCUGUCGCCCAUUCACAUGAUACAUGGUAUAGGAAAAAAAUGGUGUUCACAUACACAAGAGAGAUUUAGACGGCACGGAAAAUAAAGGCACCAAGUUUCACAGAAUUGGUUGUUCUCGCAAGUUUGUUUGUUCAGUACAUUCAUGUGAAACUUAUAUUGAUAAACUUAUUAAUGACAUGCAGUGCAGAACUGUGGAAUAAUAAAUCUAAAAGGAAAAUAAUUUGGCAUGUUACGAUAUUUGUCACAACUGGGCUGAAAAUGAGCCAUUAUUUGCAGUUCCGUGAGCAUCUAAGCAAAUUAAGUUACUACUGUCAGACUGUAUCUCUGAAUAACAGUGAGUAGCUGAUGUAUUCAUGUUGAUCACUUAAUCGGACCUACCUUUGUGGCCAAUUAGGUCGUGAGUUGGAUCCAUGAUAGCUUCACCAGCAUGCAUUUCAUCGGUUACCACUUCAAUCACCUCUUUCUUGAAGAUUUCUGCAUGCAAUGUUUCUACUCUCUAGAAACACUCUAUUUUAGUACGGGUGUCAGGUGGAUUGACAAGUCCCUUCGUAGAAAUUUAAUGGCGAAUAAACCUGAAUGUGACAGUAGGUCUUAGCACACUUGAAGAAUUUUCAAGCAUCAUCAGGAGCAUUUUAAGUCAAAUUCAUGGUCAGGAUAUAAGAUGUCUAAAAUAAUACACUUUUCCAAAAUAUUGCCAGACGCCUUGUUGUGGGAACUCUUGUUACAGAUUGAAGAAAUUAAUGUUGAAGCAAUAAUGAGAGCUUUUCUAACCUGAGAAGCCCUUCAACAUCAGAAGGGGCCUCGCAGUAUGAGGGGCAUCAAGAGGGAGUGGCCCAUUUUUUGAUUAAUUUGUGCUACAUAGCUGUCACAUGAGGGGGAGAGAGAUGUAAUAGAAACUGAAUGAAAGUAGCAAAUGAGCAUGAUGCGGGCUCUUGCAUUUUAUUAGAAUCUGGGUUAGUGCAUAAAAUGGUCAACCGUAGAGAUAGUAGUGCAAUCCGAGUCUCUCAGAUAGUAGCGGUGAAAGCUGACUACUUAGAUAAUCCUACUUGCCACCACAUCCUUAUAUAAGCUAGUGUUACAAAAAAUGGCAAAUCAGAGCUAACAAAGGGCAUACUCGAUCAUAAUGUAGUGCCACUUUCUAUAUCCCCUCGCUCAUAGUUAUUAAAAGGCUUUCGACAGUUGAUCCUGGCUCCACUUUUACUCUAGCUUAUCAUUGUCGAACAAUACAAGACUUUUAUAUGCAGGUGGUUCUUGCCUACUUUCAUAGUUUUGUAUAUCUAAAUGCCUAAAUCUACCACGACACGGUCAACAAACAGAAUUUGCAAGUAUUAUUCUACAGUUAGUUAGCACAUGGUUUUCAAUAAAAAAUGCAGGCAACAGUGCAAUUAGGAUCUAAUUCAGGCAGGUAGUGAGAAGAUUUCCAUAGCAAAUUGAACAAGUAGCAGGAAGAAACAAACAAAAUGUAAAUAAAGAAUAGCUAACCUUCAGUACAUGAUUUUCCU
RNAcentral lists this long non-coding RNA (1541 nucleotides) under Hordeum vulgare. RNAcentral's name for it is "long non-coding RNA (HVUL_LNC010449)". The record is from RNAcentral. Lineage: Eukaryota; Viridiplantae; Streptophyta; Magnoliopsida; Poales; Poaceae.